GCGGCGGCUAGAUCGGCCUUCUCCAGUUGCGCUGCAUGGUCGCCCGCGACAGCAAUUGCCGCCGCUUGCCUGCCUUCAAAGAAGUCCACGCCCUCGUCGCCCUCGACGGCGAGCGCGUCGCCGUUCGUCCUGGAGGAUGCGACCGACGAGCGGGUGGAAGGAGACGCGCUCGGCCUCGGCUUCGCCCUCGAAGACCUCCACGCCCUCGUCGUUCUCGACGGUGAGAGCGCCGCCAUCGGUGUCGUCCUGGUGGAUGCGGCCGUCGAGUCGGUAGGCGUCGUCCUGGCGGAGCAUGUCGGCGAGCGGGUAGAAGACACGGAUCACUUUGGCGAGCACGAUCGUCAUGCAUGUUAUGGCGGGAUUUAUUU
Molecule: unclassified non-coding RNA, 368 nt
Filed under: Zea mays
Lineage: Eukaryota; Viridiplantae; Streptophyta; Magnoliopsida; Poales; Poaceae
Description: misc RNA Zm00001eb398030
Source: RNAcentral